Molecule: transfer RNA, 65 nt
Filed under: Rothia nasimurium
Lineage: Bacteria; Bacillati; Actinomycetota; Actinomycetes; Micrococcales; Micrococcaceae
Also listed under: 3 other names
Rfam family: tRNA
About the family: Transfer RNA (tRNA) molecules are approximately 80 nucleotides in length. Their secondary structure includes four short double-helical elements and three loops (D, anti-codon, and T loops). Further hydrogen bonds mediate the characteristic L-shaped molecular structure. tRNAs have two regions of fundamental functional importance: the anti-codon, which is responsible for specific mRNA codon recognition, and the 3' end, to which the tRNAs corresponding amino acid is attached (by aminoacyl-tRNA synthetases). tRNAs cope with the degeneracy of the genetic code in two manners: having more than one tRNA (with a specific anti-codon) for a particular amino acid; and 'wobble' base-pairing, i.e. permitting non-standard base-pairing at the 3rd anti-codon position.
Source: RNAcentral
CCGUAGCGCAGUUGGUUAGCGCGCCGGCCUGUCACGCCGGAGGUCGCGGGUUCAAGUCCCGUCGG